AACGAACGCUGGCGGCAUGCCUAACACAUGCAAGUCGAACGAGACCUCCGGGUCUAGUGGCGCACGGGUGCGUAACGCGUGGGAACCUGCCCUUAGGUUCGGAAUAACUCCCCGAAAGGGGUGCUAAUACCGGAUAAUGUCUUCGGACCAAAGAUUUAUCGCCUUUGGAUGGGCCCGCGUUGGAUUAGCUAGUUGGUAGGGUAAAAGCCUACCAAGGCGACGAUCCAUAGCUGGUCUGAGAGGAUGAUCAGCCACACUGGGACUGAGACACGGCGCAGACUCCUACGGGAGGCAGCAGUGGGGAAUAUUGGACAAUGGGCGAAAGCCUGAUCCAGCAAUGCCGCGUGAGUGAUGAAGGCCUUAGGGUUGUAAAGCUCUUUUACCCGGGAUGAUAAUGACAGUACCGGGAGAAUAAGCACCGGCUAACUCCGUG
Molecule: ribosomal RNA, 433 nt
Filed under: uncultured bacterium
Lineage: Bacteria
Description: partial 16S ribosomal RNA
Rfam family: Bacterial small subunit ribosomal RNA
Source: RNAcentral